RNAcentral lists this ribosomal RNA (526 nucleotides) under uncultured bacterium. Its description in RNAcentral is "bacterial SSU rRNA". It matches the Rfam family "Bacterial small subunit ribosomal RNA", at positions 355 to 896 of the family's 1533-position model. The record is from RNAcentral.
UAGGGAAUAUUGCACAAUGGGCGAAAGCCUGAUGCAGCAACGCCGCGUGCGCGAUGAAGGCCUUCGGGUCGUAAAGCGCUUUUCGGGGAGAUGAGGAAGGACAGUAUCCCCGGAAUAAGGCUCGGCUAACUACGUGCCAGCAGCCGCGGUAAAACGUAGGAGCCUAGCGUUAUCCGAAUUUACUGGGCGUAAAGCGCGUGCAGGCGGUUCGGUAAGUUGGGUGUGAAAUCUCCUGGCUCAACUAGGAGAGGUCGCUCAAUACUGUCGAACUGGAGGAUGGUAGAGGGAGGUGGAAUUCCCGGUGUAGUGGUGAAAUGCGUAGAUAUCGGGAGGAAUACCAGUGGCGAAGGCGGCCUCCUGGGCCAUACCUGACGCUCAGACGCGAAAGCUAGGGGAGCAAACGGGAUUAGAAACCCCGGUAGUCCUAGCAGUAAACGAUGUGGACUUGACGUUGGUGGGGUAAAAUCCAUCAGUGCCGGAGCUAACGCGGUAAGUCCACCGCCUGGGGACUACGGCCGCAAGGUUA